RNAcentral lists this small RNA (29 nucleotides) under Bombyx mori (domestic silkworm). Its description in RNAcentral is "ovarian small RNA-13878". The record is from RNAcentral. Lineage: Eukaryota; Metazoa; Arthropoda; Insecta; Lepidoptera; Bombycidae.
CCGCGUGGGAUUGCGUAUCCCGUGCCUGC